GACGAACGCUGGCGGCGUGCCUAAUACAUGCAAGUCGAACGCAGUGGGGACGGGUGAGUAACACGUGGGUAACCUCCCAUCAGAGGGGAUAACACUUGGAAACCGGUGCUAAACCGAUACUGAUGGAUGGACCCGCGGUGCAUUAGCUAGUUGGUGAGGUAACAGCUCACCAAGGCCACGAUGCAUAGCCGACCUCAUAGGGUGAUCGGCGCCACUGGGACUGAUACUCGGCCCAGCCUCCUACGGGAUGCAGCAUUAGGGAAUCUUCGGCAAUGGACGAAAGUCUGACCGAGCAACGCCGCUUGAGUUAAGAAGGUUUUCGGAUCGUAAAACUCUGUUGUUAGAGCAGCGGUAUCUAACCAGAAAGCCACGGCUAACUACGUGCCAGCAGCCGCGGUAAUUC
This 403-nucleotide ribosomal RNA is filed under the name uncultured bacterium. RNAcentral's name for it is "partial 16S ribosomal RNA". It matches the Rfam family "Bacterial small subunit ribosomal RNA", at positions 28 to 526 of the family's 1533-position model. The record is from RNAcentral.